CUGCAAUUCAACAAUUUGUCAACAAGUUGUGAGUGACAACCUUGUAGCAACUUGAUAAAAUAACAGCAUUUUUACAACUUGUUGACAAGCUUGCUACGAACUUGUUGCGAACACAUCUUGUUGACAAGUUGUGAGAUUUUUACGUGUGUGCUAUACACGCGUCAGGUUGUUAUAGAUCUGCAAACAAGUUGCAACAAGAUUGUUGUGAAGCCGAUAUCAGGAUGUGUUCGCACUGCUUGUUCCCAGUUGUUGCGACAAGUCUGGAACAAGUUGUUAUCACCUUGUUACAAGCUUGAUGACGGUAACAGACUUGCUACAAGUUGUUCCAACAAGACUAAUACAGGCUGUUCGUAACAAGUUGCUACGAGCUUGUUGUCAUCAA
Paramuricea clavata is the source of this 382-nucleotide non-coding RNA. NCBI's taxonomy places the organism in Eukaryota, Metazoa, Cnidaria, Anthozoa, Malacalcyonacea, Plexauridae. The record is from the annotation of a GenBank genome assembly.